This 320-nucleotide ribosomal RNA is filed under the name uncultured eukaryote. RNAcentral describes it as "partial 18S ribosomal RNA". It matches the Rfam family "Eukaryotic small subunit ribosomal RNA", at positions 1470 to 1796 of the family's 1831-position model. The record is from RNAcentral.
CCCCUAGAUGUUCUGGGCCGCACGCGCGCUACACUGAACAGUUCAACAAGUCUUAACCUUGGCCGAUAGGUCUGGGUAAUCUUUGAACGCUGUUCGUGAUUGGGAUAGACCUUUGCAAUUAUGGGUCUUCAACGAGGAAUUCCUAGUAAACGCAAGUCAUCAGCUUGCAUUGAUUACGUCCCUGCCCAUUGUACACACCGCCCGUCGCACCUACCGAUUGAAUGGUCCGGUGAAAUCUCGGGACGGCGGCUUGGUCGCUUGCGUCCGACUGCUGAAACUUGAUUAAACCAUAUCAUUUAGAGGAAGGUGAAGUCGUAACA